Long non-coding RNA from Daphnia pulex (common water flea), 800 nucleotides. RefSeq lists it as uncharacterized. The transcript has 2 exons. Lineage: Eukaryota; Metazoa; Arthropoda; Branchiopoda; Diplostraca; Daphniidae. The record is from RefSeq and is a predicted model, not a curated record.
GAUGCAAAUAGCGGGGUGGGUACCGCUAAAUUCAUUCUUAGUUGAAUGUCGAAUCGCUAAUACCAUUGUUGGUUAUGGUAGAACAGUUUUCCACACUGGUACGCUGUAUGACGUCGAGCAUUGCCAAAAUUGAAGUGCUCUUUGAAGAACUGAGCGUCUAAAUCUUCUUCAGUCAGAUGAAGCUAACGGAUUCGGAAAUCGUCGAAGAAGCAGAGGACAUCGCAGCUGAAAAAAAAAAAAACGUGAGUCAAACUCCUGUGGUUAAGUUCUGCAGCUACUCUCAACAUAUUUUGUCUUGUUUGCUCGUGUUGAUUGUAGACUGCUUUUAAAUUAUCUAUCAGGGAAGCCCUAAUAAGAGGUCCAAGAGAAAUUUAUUCGGGUCAACUGAUACCAUGCCACGUACUAAAUCGUUAAUGGUUUUCAGAUAAAAAAUAACCAUGGGAAUAUGGGGUCGCAGAAAUAGAUGUCACUGGUGGAAAAUAAGAAGGUGAUAUGGUAUUUUUCUUUUCUACUGUCUGAUUUUUAAAGAUUUGGUGAGGAACAUCCAAUCUGUCGAUCGCGGUCGCUAACCAAUUGUUAGAAAAACAGCACCAAUAAUGGUCGAGCUCGGAUGUGCUUUAUUCGAGAUUUUAACACAAAUUGCAUUUUAUACGUAAAAAAAUUUAUCAUAAAGCUACAAUGUUACAGCAUUACCCGUACUAUGGCUCGUCCCGGUUUGUAUUGCUUUGUAUAAUCUUUAGUUGAACGCUAAAUAUAUUAGAGGCUAGCUAAGAGAAUUUGGCUAGAUCUUUACAAGAUUA